GGAUUGGGAUAUUCCGACUCCUUAAGGGCCUGGCGCACAUAAGGUGUGACCUUUUCAUUCCCGUUGUUAUGGAGGGCCACAUCUGCCAGAGCCUGGAGUCUGCGAAGGCCGGGACCCGGUUCCCCGGCCCACAGUGGGGGUGUGCAAACCCGAGAGAACUGGUCGCUGAAACCUCUACAACUUAGUUGACCGUAACUGCCAGAGCCCUGCCCUGAAUUCCUGUCCUUACUCCCUCUUUAAGAUUGCGUACCCACUGCAGAGUGCUGAAGACGGGGUAGCCACGAGGUUGCAAAUUCGUGAAGAAUCAGCAUCAUGUUUGGCAGCUGAGUAUUGGAGCCAGGAGCCUGCCAUGAGGUUUUGAGAACAGAGUGCUGUUUUAGAGCUGGCAGCAGCAUCUCAGCCCAAGAGAAGGUUAUAUUCCCAGAGGAUGUCAGUCCCAAGGACCAGUAGCUGCCAUCAGUUUGGAUUCUGAAAACUAACUGGCAUCAACACUGGGUGUAGAAACAUGCUUGCCUUAUGUAUCAGAGGACAUGCUCAGCAGAUCCAAGAGAUAUAUUUGGCAACUUUUUCUAGAAAAGGCACAUUGGGUAUCAUUCAUUACAUUCUUGAGUUUUUUUGGGUUUUUUUUUUUUUUUUUGAGACAGUCUUGCUGUAUUGCCCAGGCUGGAGUGUGGUGGCACAAUCACAGCUCAUUGCAUCCUCAAUCACCCAGGCCUAAGCAAUCCUCCCACCUUGUAGCUGGGACUACAGCUCACAGCACACCUGGCUAAAAUUUUUUUUUUGUUGAGACGGAUUCUCUAUGUUGCCCAGGCUGGUCUCAGGCUCCUGGGCUCAGAUGGUCCUCCUGCCUCAGCUUCCAAAGGCACAGGCCAAGUUGUAGCUUUGUCCCUUGCCAUCAUGCCCAACAAGAGGUUCUAUACCUUUUAAUGAAUUGACUUUCAUAAAUUGGUUAUGUUGGUGGGCAAAGUUCUUUAAGCUGGAAAUUGUAAAUUCCUCCUGAAAUGUUUUUUCAUGCAGUUACCAUGAACUAAUACUACAAUAAAGGAUGGUCUUGGGUGUCAAUUCUUGAAAA
This 1072-nucleotide long non-coding RNA is filed under the name Homo sapiens (human). Its description in RNAcentral is "non-protein coding LRRC75A-AS1:88". The record is from RNAcentral. Lineage: Eukaryota; Metazoa; Chordata; Mammalia; Primates; Hominidae.